This 429-nucleotide ribosomal RNA is filed under the name Acidobacteriota bacterium. RNAcentral describes it as "Acidobacteria bacterium partial 16S ribosomal RNA". It matches the Rfam family "Bacterial small subunit ribosomal RNA", at positions 355 to 776 of the family's 1533-position model. The record is from RNAcentral. Lineage: Bacteria; Pseudomonadati; Acidobacteriota.
UGGGGAAUUUUGGACAAUGGGGGAAACCCUGAUCCAGCCAACCCGCGUGUGCGAUGAAGGCCUUCGGGUUGUAAAGCACUUUUGGCAGGAAAGAAACGUCAUGGGUUAAUACCCCGUGAAACUGACGGUACCUGCAGAAUAAGCACCGGCUAACUACGUGCCAGCAGCCGCGGUAAUACGUAGGGUGCAAGCGUUAAUCGGAAUUACUGGGCGUAAAGCGUGCGCAGGCGGUUCGGAAAGAAAGAUGUGAAAUCCCAGAGCUCAACUUUGGAACUGCAUUUUUAACUACCGGGCUAGAGUGUGUCAGAGGGAGGUGGAAUUCCGCGUGUAGCAGUGAAAUGCGUAGAUAUGCGGAGGAACACCGAUGGCGAAGGCAGCCUCCUGGGAUAACACUGACGCUCAUGCACGAAAGCGUGGGGAGCAAACAGG